This is a long non-coding RNA of Patiria miniata (bat star), 225 nucleotides long. RefSeq lists it as uncharacterized. The transcript has 2 exons. The record is from RefSeq and is a predicted model, not a curated record. NCBI's taxonomy places the organism in Eukaryota, Metazoa, Echinodermata, Asteroidea, Valvatida, Asterinidae.
UGACAACGUUUACCCAAUAUUGUGCACGCGUCAUCACUCAUGUACAAGAUGGCAGCCGCUUGUGAGACCUUCAACAAUUUGGGGAUUUUUAAGACGUGAUUUCUUUGUUCCAGGACUCAGUUAUUGAAAUCCCUCGCGAUUGCUGUCUCUAGCAUGCAAUUCACAUUGCAGAGUUCAAAGUUGAAUAAAACCGCAAGGAUCAAUAACAAAGGUACACAACAACUA